GAUGAACGCUGGCGGCGUGCUUAACACAUGCAAGUCGAACGAAGCACUUUGAUCGAUUUCUUCGGAUUGAAAUUUUAGUGACUGAGUGGCGGACGGGUGAGUAACGCGUGGGUAACCUGCCUCACACAGGGGGAUAACAGUUGGAAACGGCUGCUAAUACCGCAUAAGCGCACAGUACCGCAUGGUACGGUGGGAAAAACUCCGGUGGUGUGAGAUGGACCCGCGUCUGAUUAGCUAGUUGGCAGGGCAACGGCCUACCAAGGCGACGAUCAGUAGCCGACCUGAGAGGGUGACCGGCCACAUUGGGACUGAGACACGGCCCAAACUCCUACGGGAGGCAGCAGUGGGGAAUAUUGCACAAUGGGGGAAACCCUGAUGCAGCGACGCCGCGUGAGCGAAGAAGUAUUUCGGUAUGUAAAGCUCUAUCAGCAGGGAAGAAGAAAUGACGGUACCUAACUAAGAAGCACCGGCUAAAUACGUGCCAGCCGCCGCGGUAA
RNAcentral lists this ribosomal RNA (497 nucleotides) under uncultured bacterium. Its description in RNAcentral is "partial 16S ribosomal RNA". It matches the Rfam family "Bacterial small subunit ribosomal RNA", at positions 28 to 523 of the family's 1533-position model. The record is from RNAcentral.